UGCAUCGGAACGUGCCCGGUAGUGGGGGAUAACUCGGCGAAAGUCGAGCUAAUACCGCAUACGUACCGAGGUAGAAAGCGGGGGACCUGCAAGGGCCUCGCGCUAUCGGAGCGGCCGAUGUCGGAUUAGCUUGUUGGUGGGGUAAUGGCCUACCAAGGCGACGAUCCGUAACUGGUCUGAGAGGACGACCAGUCACACUGGGACUGAGACACGGCCCAGG
This 220-nucleotide ribosomal RNA is filed under the name uncultured bacterium. RNAcentral describes it as "partial 16S ribosomal RNA". It matches the Rfam family "Bacterial small subunit ribosomal RNA", at positions 114 to 335 of the family's 1533-position model. The record is from RNAcentral.